RNAcentral lists this ribosomal RNA (495 nucleotides) under uncultured bacterium. RNAcentral's name for it is "partial 16S ribosomal RNA". It matches the Rfam family "Bacterial small subunit ribosomal RNA", at positions 28 to 507 of the family's 1533-position model. The record is from RNAcentral.
GACGAACGCUGGCGGCGUGCCUAAUACAUGCAAGUAGAACGCUGAAGGAGGAGCUUGCUUCUCUGGAUGAGUUGCGAACGGGUGAGUAACGCGUAGGUAACCUGCCUGGUAGCGGGGGAUAACUAUUGGAAACGAUAGCUAAUACCGCAUAAUAGUAGAUGUUGCAUGACAUUUGCUUAAAAGGUGCAAUUGCAUCACUACCAGAUGGACCUGCGUUGUAUUAGCUAGUUGGUGAGGUAACGGCUCACCAAGGCGACGAUACAUAGCCGACCUGAGAGGGUGAUCGGCCACACUGGGACUGGGACACGGCCCAGACUCCUACGGGAGGGAGCAGGAGGGAAUCUUCGGCAAUGGACGGAAGGCUGACCGAGCAACGCCGCGGGAGUGAAGAAGGGUUUCGGAUCGUAAAGCUCUGUUGUAAGAGAAGAACGAGUGUGAGAGUGGAAAGUUCACACUGUGACGGUAUCUUAACAGAAAGGGACGGCUAACUACGUG